RNAcentral lists this ribosomal RNA (116 nucleotides) under Escherichia coli. Lineage: Bacteria; Pseudomonadati; Pseudomonadota; Gammaproteobacteria; Enterobacterales; Enterobacteriaceae. The record is from RNAcentral.
CACGGCGGCCUUAGCGCGGUGGUCCCACCUGACCCCAUGCCGAACUCAGAAGUGAAACGCCGUAGCGCCGAUGGUAGUGUGGGGUCUCCCCAUGCGAGAGUAGGGAACUGCCAGGC